RNAcentral lists this ribosomal RNA (381 nucleotides) under Triticum aestivum (bread wheat). RNAcentral describes it as "partial small subunit ribosomal RNA". The record is from RNAcentral. Lineage: Eukaryota; Viridiplantae; Streptophyta; Magnoliopsida; Poales; Poaceae.
AUGUCACAGCCCGCCUGGGAGAACAUCGGCAUCUACCGUGCCGGCAUCAUCCCCGUCUUCUACCAGCAGGUCAAGUGUUGGAGGCAGGGCGGCGUUCGGUUCACCAUCAACGGCUUCAACUACUUUGAACUGGUGCUUGUGGCCAACAUCGCCGGGAGCGGGUCAAUUAAGAGCAUGUCGGUGAAAGGGACCAACACCGCGUGGAUCCCGAUGUCCAGGAACUGGGGCGCCAACUGGCACUGCCUCUCGGGACUGGUGGGGCAGGCGCUCAGCUUCGCUAUCACCUCCACCGGAGGCCAGUACCUUGUCUUCCAGGAUGUCGUGCCGGCCUGGUGGCAGUUUGGACAAACCUUCAUCACCUGGCGCCAGUUCGACUACUAG